Molecule: non-coding RNA, 204 nt
Organism: Oryza meridionalis
Lineage: Eukaryota; Viridiplantae; Streptophyta; Magnoliopsida; Poales; Poaceae
Source: Rfam
AAUAAGCGCAGGCAUGAGUUUCCGCGCUCAACUUUUAUCGUUCGUCUUAUUUGAUUAAAAAAAUAUUAAUCGUAAAAACAACAAUAUUCUACUAUUAACAUGAAUAGUACUUUACUCGUGACUUAUGUUUUUAAUUUUUUCAAAAAAAAAUUAAAUAAAACGAAUGGCCAAAGUUAGACGCGAAAAAACAUGGUUGCACUUAUU